CGCUGAACUUAAGCAUAUCACUAAGCGGAGGAAAAGAAACUAACCAGGAUUCCCUGAGUAACUGCGAGUGAACAGGGAAAAGCCCAACACCGAAGCCUAA
Molecule: ribosomal RNA, 100 nt
Filed under: Maritrema sp. 1 CC-2013
Lineage: Eukaryota; Metazoa; Platyhelminthes; Trematoda; Plagiorchiida; Microphallidae
Description: partial 28S ribosomal RNA
Rfam family: Eukaryotic large subunit ribosomal RNA
Source: RNAcentral